Molecule: non-coding RNA, 536 nt
Organism: Pelobates cultripes (western spadefoot toad)
Lineage: Eukaryota; Metazoa; Chordata; Amphibia; Anura; Pelobatidae
Source: the annotation of a GenBank genome assembly
AUCAAACAAGCUGCUCAGGUAAUCACUCUUCUCCCCAAAAAAUCAUUAAUUAAAUCUGGCCAUCCGUUAAAACUAUUCUGCUUUGUUGACAGUGUUUUGCUCUAUCCUGGUAAUGCUUGUGAGUCAUAAUAAAUAACACCCUUGUUAAAAUAUAAGGGUAGCAUUUUUCAAUUCCUAUCCAUAAGAUUGUCAAUAUUUAGGUUGUAUGUACAUCCGUUAUGUAUGAAUAGCACCCAAUGAUUUGUGGAAGUAUAAUUUUGUAUUAUGGGUACCUGCCAAUGUAAUAGAGAUGAUAAAAAAUAUAUACAGUAGAUUAAAAUAUUGUCAUACAAUUGCGAACAAUAUAUUGUACUUUUGUGUGUUGGUGCACAUUAAACACAAUCUUGGUAAAAGUAAUACAUUUCCUUACAAUACGCCUAAAUUUAUUACAUAUAGUUUCUUCUUUCACUAUCAUACUAGCUGCAGGCUAGGACCAAGUUUGUUGUUAAGCAUUCUGAGUUCCAGACCAUUAUUUUAGUAAAUAACCCUGUAAGUGA